GGACUGCAGAGGCGCUGCUGUGCUCAGAAGGGGGUCCUCCGUCACCGUGGUAGGACGGCAGUGCUGCAUUGUGGUUGUGGAAGAAGUAGUUAGACGUCAUGGCGAACCGCCAUACCGCUCUAUCGGUGCUACUGUGUUUGCUGGUCCUCACCAGCGUUCACAUGACCCGUGGUCGACCCGGUGACACGGACAUCCAGACCCUGGCAAGGAGGAUUCGACCGGAUGAACAACAAAGAGUGAUCAGCCUGGGUUGUCCCGUUGGGAGACGGCCCUGCGGCCGGGGGCGAUGCUGUGUGACCCGACGGGUGCCAGAUCGGCCAGUAUGUCGGCCCUGGCAAGUCAGCCACCCCGUGUUUGGGUGUAUCGGCUAAACCCGGUGUUGGGGUGUAUUGGCUAAACCCGGUGUUGGGGUGUACUGGCUAAACCCGGUGUUUGGGUGUAUCGGCUAAACCCGGUGUUGGGGUGCAUCGGAUAAACCCGGUGUUGGGGUGUAUCGGAUAAACCCGGUUUUUGGGUGCAUCGGCUAAACCCAGUCUUUGGGUGUAUCGGUUGGACCCCGUGUUUGGGUGCACUGCAGUUAAACCAUGGAAAAUAUGAGCCACUCGUUUGGAUGUUUCAGUUAAACACGGUAUUUGGGUUUAUCAGACCAUGGCCAGUCAGCCACUCUGUGUUAAGAUGCAUCAGCUUAACCUCGUGUCAGAGCGUAUUAGUGAAACCUGGUGUUAAGCUGAGUCAAUUAAAACCAGCAUUCGAGUGUAUUGGUUAAGCCAGUUGUUGAGUGUACCAGUUAAACCCAGUAUUGAGCAGUAGCGAACCCUUACAUACAUUGUUUGGGUGUACGCAAUAAACCCUGGCGGACCCACCAUUUUCUUGUGUGUAUUUGUAAACGCGUCGUUCUGGUGAAUGAUUCAUCCAAACCGGGUGCAUGUAUGCGUUAGUAAAUAUAGUGUUUGACCGUAUCAGUGUAACUCUGGUGUUAUGCUAUUAUAUUAAACCAUUUAUUUGAGUGCAUUUGUAUGUGGAGACUAAGUACUGAUGGUUGUUGAAAAUGUGAUUCUGUAACGACUGUUCAAACGCAUUUCUUUGCAAUGCUUGAUGCAUGCUUUGUAAGUACACCAUGUAUACUGACUACUGACUACUGUAGCAAUUCGUUAAACUGCCCAUUGUUUGCAGUCGCAUUCCGCGAAGAAGAGAUAAACGCGUGGAUAUGUGAAUGCGUAAUAAAAAAAACACAAUA
Molecule: long non-coding RNA, 1237 nt
Organism: Amphibalanus amphitrite
Lineage: Eukaryota; Metazoa; Arthropoda; Thecostraca; Balanomorpha; Balanidae
Exons: 2
Source: RefSeq, a predicted model, not a curated record